GCGCACACUCACAUUCUGGCCAGUGACUCGCUCCACUUUGGCACGGUACCACUGACCAUCCACAAACUGGGCCGCACAGAGAUCACCUUGGGGCAAAAACCAGCAUGACAUGAGAGCAGAAAACAAGAAAAGAACAACAGCAGACUUGGACUGCAAGCUUAUCUAUAUGUACAAGUCACAAGACUCCUUAGGCUCACUCUGUAGGCAACCUACCGUCCUUGAGCAUUACAAGACAUGUAAAUAGCAAGAGCAGUGUACCAAAUGCUCACCUUGUGGACAAUGGAGCCAACAAAGUUGUUGUUGUUGAAGGUCUCCAGGAUAACCUGAACAUCGCGCUGCAGCAGACGUGACUCUGUGAAGAAGCGCGCCUCGUCCGCAAAUGGUUCACUGUUGCCCUUGUCCACCUUACCCUCAGAGUCCAGCUUGUUCAUCGGACACUGUUAAGGAUGCAGAGUGUGAGUUAUGGGUAGUUUGGGUUAUCAUCAUUACCAGUGUGGGAUUCAAACAAUACUAAUGGUUCAACUAGC
This is a long non-coding RNA of Scylla paramamosain (green mud crab), 527 nucleotides long. RefSeq lists it as uncharacterized. The record is from RefSeq and is a predicted model, not a curated record. The transcript has 2 exons. NCBI's taxonomy places the organism in Eukaryota, Metazoa, Arthropoda, Malacostraca, Decapoda, Portunidae.